This is a long non-coding RNA of Oncorhynchus gorbuscha (pink salmon), 1628 nucleotides long. RefSeq lists it as uncharacterized. The record is from RefSeq and is a predicted model, not a curated record. The transcript is spliced from 3 exons. Lineage: Eukaryota; Metazoa; Chordata; Actinopteri; Salmoniformes; Salmonidae.
UUUGCAGAUCUCACUUAGACUUUUCAGCAAAACACUAAACACAUUCUCAUUCUGAAAACACAUUAUGCACUCUAAUGCACACGGUAAACACAAGUGGCAACAAUCAAAACAAAUAGAGAAGACAUGUCAUUGAUUGGACACAACCACUCAAAAUUGAUUUAACCUGUUUCAAAUGAUGCGACACAACCAAUAUAAGUCAGUUCAGAGAGCAAACAGGCUGUUGAAGGUGGGAAGGAGAAAGUCUGAGAAUGGAUAGAAUAAACAAUGUGAGAGGAGUGCGUAUGCGAGGUGGGCGACGAGGAGGAGGGCAAGAAAGAGGAAGAAGAUGAUGAAGAUGAUGAAGAGGAUGACAAAGAGUGUAAAUAUCUGAUGAAAUCCGAGCAACAGUUAUAGACCAUGUUCUUGUCCAUGGACUGACAAUGAGGGAAGCAGGACUUAAGAGUGCAACCCAAUUUGAGCCGAUUUUCUGUGUUCACCAUAGUAAGGACAUUAAGAGAAGAGAACAGAAUUGCAAGGCUGCCACAUGCAGGUGGAGGGACAGCUAUAUUCACUCGGGAGCAAGAGGCCGUUAUAGUUGGCAUGGUCCUUCAAGAUAAUGCAAUACGACUCAGAGAAAUCCAGGAACGAGUGAUACAAGACAACACACACUUCCAGGGAAUCAACAGUGUGAGCAUUUACACAAUUGACCGUGUCCUCCAUCGUAACAGGAUGCGAAUGAAACAAGUACACAGAGUACCUUUUGAGAGCAACUCACCAAGGGUGAAAGAACUACGAGCUCAGUAUAUGCAAACAAUAUUUGACUUGGAAUCCUUGGACAGAUCCCAUGAGUUCAUCUUUGUUGAUGAAGCAGGCUUCAAUCUAACAAAAGAGAAGGAGAGGCAGAAACAUGAUUGGACAGCGGGCCAUUGUUGAAGUCCCUGGUCAACGAGGUGGCAAUGUCACAAUCUGUGUGCUGCUAUCAGCAACCAUGGUGUUCUACAUCACCAUGUUACACUCGGGCCAUAUAACACCCAGCACCUUCUAAGAUUUAUUGCCAAUCUAAGAUAUACUUUAUUUGAGCAGCAGGUUCAAGAGCAGCAGGUUCAAGAGCUAAAUGAGAAUCCCAUUCCCACCUAUGUGAUAGUGUGGGACAAUGUCAGUUUCCACCGAGCUGCUCAGGUAAGGGAAUGGUUUAACAUCAAUGGGCAGUUUAUGAACUUGUACCUCCCUCCAUACUCGCCUUUACUGAAUCCGAUUGAGGAGUUUUUCUCCUCUUGGAGAUGGAAAGUGUAUGAUAGACAACCCUACAUCAGAGUAAAUUUGCUGCAAGCCAUGGAUUUAGCCUGUGGUGAUAUAGGUGAGGAAUGAUGUCAGGGCUGGAUACGGUACUUAAGAGGCUUCUUCCCCCGUUGCCUCAGGAGGGACAAUAUUGCUUGUGAUGUCAACGAAGUAAUCUGGCCUGACCCAGCCCAAAGACAAGAAGAAGCACAUUGAUCACAUGUUUACUACUUUGAUUUUUGUCCCUUUUAGUAUUGUAUACUGUAGUACUGUGCAUUGUAGGCUAUAUACGGUACAAUGGACAAAUUGUAUGGCCUGAACAUUGUGCUUUCCAUGUAUUAACAGUACUGACUGCUUGCAGGUUCAUAUCA